This 2647-nucleotide ribosomal RNA is filed under the name Burkholderia cenocepacia. Its description in RNAcentral is "partial 23S ribosomal RNA". It matches the Rfam family "Bacterial large subunit ribosomal RNA". The record is from RNAcentral. Lineage: Bacteria; Pseudomonadati; Pseudomonadota; Betaproteobacteria; Burkholderiales; Burkholderiaceae.
GAAGCGAACGCGGUGAACUGAAACAUCUAAGUAACCGCAGGAAAAGAAAUCAACCGAGAUUCCCAAAGUAGUGGCGAGCGAAAUGGGAUGAGCCUUGCACUCUUUAUUUGUAUUGUUAGCCGAACGCUCUGGAAAGUGCGGCCAUAGCAGGUGAUAGCCCUGUAGGCGAAAACAGUAUGAAAGAACUAGGUGUGCGACAAGUAGGGCGGGACACGUGAAAUCCUGUCUGAAGAUGGGGGGACCAUCCUCCAAGGCUAAAUACUCGUGAUCGACCGAUAGUGAACCAGUACCGUGAGGGAAAGGCGAAAAGAACCCCGGGAGGGGAGUGAAAUAGAUCCUGAAACCGCAUGCAUACAAACAGUCGGAGCCUCGUAAGGGGUGACGGCGUACCUUUUGUAUAAUGGGUCAGCGACUUACGUUCAGUAGCAAGCUUAACCGUAUAGGGCAGGCGUAGCGAAAGCGAGUCCGAAUAGGGCGUUCAGUUGCUGGGCGUAGACCCGAAACCAGGUGAUCUAUCCAUGGCCAGGAUGAAGGUGCGGUAACACGUACUGGAGGUCCGAACCCACUAACGUUGAAAAGUUAGGGGAUGAGCUGUGGAUAGGGGUGAAAGGCUAAACAAACCUGGAAAUAGCUGGUUCUCUCCGAAAACUAUUUAGGUAGUGCCUCGUGUCUCACCUUCGGGGGUAGAGCACUGUCAUGGUUGGGGGGUCUAUUGCAGAUUACCCCGCCAUAGCAAACUCCGAAUACCGAAGAGUGCAAUCACGGGAGACAGACAUCGGGUGCUAACGUCCGGUGUCAAGAGGGAAACAACCCAGACCGCCAGCUAAGGUCCCCAAAUAUAGCUAAGUGGGAAACGAAGUGGGAAGGCUAAAACAGUCAGGAGGUUGGCUUAGAAGCAGCCACCCUUUAAAGAAAGCGUAAUAGCUCACUGAUCGAGUCGUCCUGCGCGGAAGAUGUAACGGGGCUAAGCUAUAUACCGAAGCUGCGGAUGCGUGCUUGCACGCAUGGUAGGAGAGCGUUCCGUAAGCCUGCGAAGGUGCCUUGUAAAGGGUGCUGGAGGUAUCGGAAGUGCGAAUGCUGACAUGAGUAGCGAUAAAGGGGGUGAAAGGCCCCCUCGCCGUAAGCCCAAGGUUUCCUACGCAACGUUCAUCGGCGUAGGGUGAGUCGGCCCCUAAGGCGAGGCAGAAAUGCGUAGCUGAUGGGAAGCAGGUCAAUAUUCCUGCACCAUUGUUAGAUGCGAUGGGGGGACGGAUCGCGGAAGGUUGUCCGGGUGUUGGAAGUCCCGGUCGCUGCAUUGGAGAAGGCGCUUAGGCAAAUCCGGGCGCGCAAUUCAAGGGUGUGGCGCGAGCUCCUUAGGGAGCGAAGCAAUUGGAAGUGGUUCCAAGAAAAGCCUCUAAGCUUCAGUCUAACGAUGACCGUACCGCAAACCGACACAGGUGGGCGAGAUGAGUAUUCUAAGGCGCUUGAGAGAACUCGGGAGAAGGAACUCGGCAAAUUGGUACCGUAACUUCGGGAUAAGGUACGCCCUUGUAGCUUGACUGGCCUGCGCCAGGAGGGUGAAGGGGUUGCAAUAAACUGGUGGCUGCGACUGUUUAAUAAAAACACAGCACUCUGCAAACACGAAAGUGGACGUAUAGGGUGUGACGCCUGCCCGGUGCCGGAAGAUUAAAUGAUGGGGUGCAAGCUCUUGAUUGAAGUCCCGGUAAACGGCGGCCGUAACUAUAACGGUCCUAAGGUAGCGAAAUUCCUUGUCGGGUAAGUUCCGACCUGCACGAAUGGCGUAACGAUGGCCACACUGUCUCCUCCCGAGACUCAGCGAAGUUGAAGUGUUUGUGAUGAUGCAAUCUACCCGCGGCUAGACGGAAAGACCCCAUGAACCUUUACUGUAGCUUUGCAUUGGACUUUGAACCGAUCUGUGUAGGAUAGGUGGGAGGCUAUGAAACCGGAACGCUAGUUUCGGUGGAGCCGUCCUUGAAAUACCACCCUGGUUUGUUUGAGGUUCUAACCUUGGCCCGUGAUCCGGGUCGGGGACAGUGCAUGGUAGGCAGUUUGACUGGGGCGGUCUCCUCCCAAAGCGUAACGGAGGAGUACGAAGGUACGCUAGGUACGGUCGGAAAUCGUGCUGAUAGUGCAAUGGCAUAAGCGUGCUUAACUGCGAGACCGACAAGUCGAGCAGGUGCGAAAGCAGGUCAUAGUGAUCCGGUGGUUCUGUAUGGAAGGGCCAUCGCUCAACGGAUAAAAGGUACUCUGGGGAUAACAGGCUGAUACCGCCCAAGAGUUCAUAUCGACGGCGGUGUUUGGCACCUCGAUGUCGGCUCAUCUCAUCCUGGGGCUGUAGCCGGUCCCAAGGGUAUGGCUGUUCGCCAUUUAAAGAGGUACGUGAGCUGGGUUUAAAACGUCGUGAGACAGUUUGGUCCCUAUCUGCCGUGGGCGUUGGAUAUUUGAAGGGGGCUGCUCCUAGUACGAGAGGACCGGAGUGGACGAACCUCUGGUGUACCGGUUGUCACGCCAGUGGCAUCGCCGGGUAGCUAUGUUCGGAAGAGAUAACCGCUGAAAGCAUCUAAGCGGGAAACUCGCCUUAAGAUGAGAUAUCCCUGGGGACUAGAUCCCCUUGAAGGGUCGUUCGAGACCAGGACGUUGAUAGGUC